Molecule: non-coding RNA, 30 nt
Filed under: Rattus norvegicus (Norway rat)
Lineage: Eukaryota; Metazoa; Chordata; Mammalia; Rodentia; Muridae
Source: RNAcentral
UGCAAGGUAAAAUUGCAUCAGAGUUCCCCA